UACGGAGAGUGCAAGCAUUAAUCGGAAUUAUUGGGCGUAAAGGGCGCGUAGGCUGAAGAGCCAGUCAGAUGUGAAAUUCCGAAGCUCAACUUCGGAGCUGCAUUUGAAACUACUUUUCUAGAGGAUUGACGGAGAAAACGGAAUUCCACGUGUAGCGGUGAAAUGCGUAGAUAUGUGGAAGAACACCUGUGGCGAAAGCGGUUUUCUAGUUAAUACCUGACGCUGAGGCGCGAGAGCGAGGGGAGCAAACAGG
Molecule: ribosomal RNA, 253 nt
Filed under: uncultured bacterium
Lineage: Bacteria
Description: partial 16S ribosomal RNA
Rfam family: Bacterial small subunit ribosomal RNA
Source: RNAcentral